AUUGAACGCUGGCGGCAUGCUUUACACAUGCAAGUCGAACGGCAGCGGGGAGGAGCUUGCUUCUCUGCCGGCGAGUGGCGAACGGGUGAGUAAUACAUCGGAACGUGUCGAGAAGAGGGGGAUAACCACCCGAAAGGGUGGCUAAUACCGCAUAAAUUCUGAGGAAGAAAGCUGGGGACCUAGGAAUAGGCCUAGCGCUUUUUGAGCGGCCGAUGUCGGAUUAGCUAGUUGGUGAGGUAAAGGCUCACCAAGGCGAAGAUCUGUAGCGGGUCUGAGAGGAUGAUCCGCCACACUGGGACUGAGACACGGCCCAGACUCCUACGGGAGGCAGCAGUGGGGAAUUUUGGACAAUGGGGGAAACCCUGAUCCAGCAAUGCCGCGUGUAUGAAGAAGGCCUUAGGGUUGUAAAGUACUUUUGUUAGGGAAGAAAAGUCAGCUGUGAAUAAUGGCUGAUACUGACGGUACCUAAAGAAUAAGCACCGGCUAACUACGUG
Molecule: ribosomal RNA, 494 nt
Filed under: uncultured bacterium
Lineage: Bacteria
Description: partial 16S ribosomal RNA
Rfam family: Bacterial small subunit ribosomal RNA
Source: RNAcentral